UACGAAGGGUGCAAGCGUUACUCGGAAUUACUGGGCGUAAAGGGUGCGUAGGUGGUUGUUUAAGUCUGUUGUGAAAGCCCCGGGCUCAACCUGGGAAUGGCAAUGGAUACUGGACAGCUAGAGUGCGGUAGAGGGUAGUGGAAUUCCCGGUGUAGCAGUGAAAUGCGCAGAUAUCGGGAAGAACACCCGUGGCGAAGGCGGUUCUCUGGGACGGUACUGACGCUGAGACGCGAAAGCGUGGGGAGCGAACAGG
This 253-nucleotide ribosomal RNA is filed under the name uncultured bacterium. Its description in RNAcentral is "partial 16S ribosomal RNA". It matches the Rfam family "Bacterial small subunit ribosomal RNA", at positions 524 to 776 of the family's 1533-position model. The record is from RNAcentral.